Long non-coding RNA from Oncorhynchus nerka (sockeye salmon), 3823 nucleotides. RefSeq lists it as uncharacterized. The record is from RefSeq and is a predicted model, not a curated record. Lineage: Eukaryota; Metazoa; Chordata; Actinopteri; Salmoniformes; Salmonidae. The transcript has 2 exons.
AACUUGGCUGUCGGAGGCUGUGCCCGACUCUGAAGUCACCGCUGACGGAUUCACUAUUACCCGUAUGGACAGAGACAGUGAGGCUACUGUUGUUUAUGUCCAUCCAAGAGCCAACAUUGUCAAUGCAGUUGGUCAAACAUGGUCUCCGACCAACUUAUAGACAGUUACUCAAAAAGGAGGUGGUGGAAAAACAAAUACAGGUGUGGGAAAAUGACAGUAUUGCUAAAUUGCAAGGAUGUUUUGAUUGUGCUACCUGGAGUGUAUUUGAAGAAUCCUCAGCUGACCUGAACCGAGAUGACGGAUGUAAUAUCUGUGAUAUCUGCCUAUAUUGAAUGUGUUUGCCUCCGGGAAUCCACUGAAACUGAACAAGUUCUUCACCCGCUUUGAAGCAGGUGGCGCACACGGUCCCCCGGCCUGUCAAGAGGAGGAUGUCAUGGCAACCAACAGUGUGCUUGUCAUCAAUGAGGAAUUCAUACAACGAGCACCAAAAGAGCCCGGUGCCUGAUAACUUAAGUGUUCAUGUCCUGAAACACUGUUCCACUCAGCUAAGCGGUGUCUUCUGCUCUUUUCCAGCGGUCCCUGGAUACAUUGAAUUUACAAUCUUUGUGAAAAAAAUGUAUUGUACCUGUCCCAGAAACUCCUCAUCCAUCUGCAUCAAAUGACUACAGACCUGUUGCUCUUACCUCUCUCUUGAUUAAAUCUUUUGAAAAGAUCACUAAGGCCUAUAUAAUCAACACCACCGAACACUAUCCACUAUCGGCAUAUCUAUUUUUUAUGGCCAUCGAAAUGUCAGCUAUUAAAAUCAGAUCCAACAAUAGUAUCAAGGGCCUAGAAAUCAAGGGUUUAAAAACGAUGGUGUCAUUGUAUGAUGAUGAUUCAUGUUUUCUUUUAAAUCCACAAUUUGGGUCCCUCAACAGCCUCAUAGAUGAUCUAGAUACUUUUUCUAACCUCUCUGGAUUACAAAAAAAUAUAAUAAUUGUACUAUGUUACAUGUUGGAUCACAGAAAAAUACAACUUGUACAUUACCAUAUAGUUUACCAAUAAAAUUGUCUGAUGGUGAAAUAAAUAAAUGAUCUCACUCCAAUGAAUGUUAAUAGAAAGUUAGCAAAAAUCGAUAAAGAUCUUGCUACCAUGAAAAGGAAAAUAUCUGUCUAUUUGUGGAAAAAUUACCCUGAUUAUCUCUUUAGUCAUAUCCCAGUUUACCUAUUUGCUUGUGGCCUUGCCUACAUCUAGCGACUUGUUCUUUUUAAUUAAAUGAGCAAAAUAUAUUCCAUUUGGAUUAAAAUGAUUAAAUAUUAAAACAUUAGACCUCUCACUAAAGGCUUCAGUCAUUUAAAAGUUACGUUUAAAUCCAAACUGGUUCUCUAGCAGAUUAGUAGGAAUGUCUCACCACAUGUUCAAUAAUGUCCCUUUUCCCUUCAUUCAGAUUACAACCUCCCACUGUAGGUUAUUUGAAAAUGAAAUGCUUUCCAAAAUAUUUAUAUUUUUAAACAAGCCAUAGAAAGUUGGUUGCAAUUUCAGUUUAAUCUACCAGAAAAGACAACCACAAAUAUUACAAUAAAUACUAUGGUUAAACUCAAAAUUACAACCAACUAAUUACAGCAUUACUGCUAAAAUGGAAGAGUCAAGUGGAAAGGGAAGAAAGUAAAAAACUUGUGAUGGCAAAAAAAAAUAUAUACCAGUUUAAUUUAAAUACAUUUUUACAGCUGUGCCAAAAUGAUAGCAAAAAAGUUGGGAAGAGAUUUUCGAUGUACCGAUUCCAUGGCACAUGGUUUAUGAAAUGAUACUCAAAACAAUGCUGAAUUAAAAAGUUUUAUAUUUAAAGUUUCCUACAAAAUCUUUGUUUUAUAUGUGUAUUUUAUAUACAGUGCAUUCGGAAAGUAUUCAGCCCCCUUGACUUUUUCCACAUUUUUUUUACGUUAAAGCCUUGUUCUAAAAUGGUUUAAAUAAACAUUUUCCCUCAUCAAUCUAAACAUAAUAACCCAUAAUGACAAAGAUAUUUACAAAAAUGUGAGGGGUGUACUCACUUUUGUGAUAUACCGUACAUACUUUUGUACCUUUUUUCUCCAGCAUCUUCACAAGGUCCUUUGCUGUUGUUCUGGGAUUUAUUUGCCCUUUUCGCACCACAGUACGUUCAUCUCUAGGAGACAGAACACAUCUCCUUCCUGAGCAGUAUGACGGCGGCGUGGUCCCAUGGUGUUUAUACUUGCGUACUGUUUGUACAGAUGAACGUGGUACCUUCAGGCGUUUGAAAAUUGUCCCAAGGAUGAACCAGACAUGUGGAGGUCUAAAUUUUUUGGGCUGAUUUCUUUUGCUUUUCCCAUGAUGUCAAGCAAAGAGGCACUGAGGUUGAAGGUAGGCCUUGAAAUACAUCCACAGGUACACCUCCAAUUGACUCAAAUUAUGUCAAUUAGCCUGUCAGACAUUUCUAAAGCCAUGCCAUAAUUUUCUGGAAUUUUCCAAGCUGUUUAAAGGCACAAUCAACUUGGUGUAUGUAAACGUCUGACCCACUGGCAUUGUGAUACAGUGAAUUAUAAGUGAAAUAAUCUGUCUGUAAACAAUUGUUUGAGAAAUUACUUGUGUCAUGCACAAAGUAGAUGUCCUAUCCGACUUGCCAAAACUAUAGUUUGUUAACAAUACAUUUGUGUAGUGGUUGAAAAACGAGUUUUAAUGACUCCAACCUAAGUGUAUGUAAACUUCCGUCUUCAACUGUAAAUUUGAUAUUUCAAUAUAAAUGCUCAUAAGAAUCCGCCUCUUUAUUUCAAUAUUCGCGUAAAAUUAUAUACCUAAAUCUAACUGCCUGUAGCAAGGAUAUGCAUAUUCUUGAUACCAUUUGAAACUAAACACUUUGAAGUUUGUGGAAAUGUUAAAAUAUUGUAGGGGAAUAUGACACAUUAGAUGUGUUAAAAGAUAACACAAAGGUAAAAUAAUAUUAUAUCAUCUUUGAAAUGCAAAAGAAAGGCCAUAAUGUGUUAUGCCAGCCCAGGUGCCAUUUAGAUUUUCAGCAGUGUAUGUGCACAGUUUUUUUAUUCUGAUCCAAUGAGCUAUUGCAUUUCUGUUCAAAAUGUUGUGUCAAGAUUGCCCACAUGUCCCUAAUUGGUUUAUUAAUACAUUUUCAAGUUCGUAACUGUGCACUCUCCUCAAACAAUAGCAUGGUAUUAUUUCACUGUGAUAGCUACUGUAAAUUGGACAGUGCAGUUAGAUUUUGUCACGUCUGCCCCCCCAGCGCUUGAGGACGCCAGGCUGCCCUGCAUUACUCACUCCUAUCAUCUAUUAUGCACACCUGCCUUCCCUCGUCACGUGCAUCAGCGAUAUUAGACUCACCUGUAUUCACUCAUCAUCUGUUUAUUUCCUCCCCUAUAUUUGUCAGUUCCCUUGCUCUGUUCCAAGGUGCUGCAUUGAUUGUCUUUUGUAUGUUCUACCUGUUUGCUGAUGCUGUUCCUGUCUCGUUCCAUGUUCAUCAUUUUUAAAAAUGUUUUACUCCCAGUACCUGCUUUGUCUCUCCAGCGUCAUUCCAAGUUAUAGAAUGCAGCAGCCAUCAUACGAAGCAUCGGGGCAUAAUGGCAUUCCGGUUGGUAUGGUGACAUCGGCUCUGGGUCUCCGCCGAUGGAACCGGGGGUGCCUAGCCAGCUCGUUGGGCUUCCACUCCCUAGCUGGCUCGAGAGGUUUCCUUGCCCCGGUUGGCUCGGAUGGCGCCCAUCCCACAUCACGCUCCUCUGGAAUCUCCUCCGCAGCGGGAUCGACAGGCGUCUUGCCUCAGCCGGAUGCUGACACUGUUCCUGUCUCAUUCCAUGUUUGUCAUUUAAUAAAUGUUUUACUCCCA